RNA transcript from Scylla paramamosain (green mud crab), 2588 nucleotides. RefSeq lists it as uncharacterized. The record is from RefSeq and is a predicted model, not a curated record. Lineage: Eukaryota; Metazoa; Arthropoda; Malacostraca; Decapoda; Portunidae. The transcript has 3 exons.
UCAUACUUUGUUUUCUACCCUCCGACCUUCCCUCCUUCCUUCCCUCCCCUUAUCUCUCAAUCAGCUACCUUGAUCAUAAUGUCUAAUCAUCAACACAAGAGGCCAUGGACCCUAAGUGCUUGGUAACUGGUCACUUCUUACUGAAGGCGUGUUUAUCAUGAGAGAGAGAGAGAGAGAGAGAGAGAGAGAGAGAGAGAGAGAGAGAGAGAGAGUUAAGUACCUUUCUGUUCUGUUAAAGUUAAAAAAUAUAAAUAAAUAAAUAGAUAAAUAAAUAAAUAAAUAAGCUACUUCUUGGCUAGCUCUUCCAAUGUGUAUUCAUCAAAUCUUGUCAUGUCGCCCUCUCCCUCCACUCUCCUCCUCCUCCUCCUACCUCUACCCUCCAUCUCCCCCUCCCCUUCCUCCUACUCCUCCUGCUCCCCAAUUCAGAUGACUCGACCGCCUUCGAUUCCAGGUUCGAGUGAAUUCGGAGCUCCACUUGACCUGUAUCCCCACCGCGUGUGCCAGUACCACUUCUUGAACUUCGGUGAUAAGAGUGACGGCGUCUAGCGAAGGGCCAGUGUACCGAGAUCACGCUGCUACGCCUUGACCUGCCCACACCUCUCUCGGUUAUCACGCCACCACUCAAGGUGGGCGAGAGCAGGUGGCUGAGAUUACCCUGGCGAGAGGCGUGAGCUGUGACACCGCCUACCCGGCCCUCAGGAACCCUUACGUAGAGGAACAAUGGGAGGACAAGGGGAGGAGGGCCGCGCGGUCUGCUGUGCCUCCCCAAAGCCACCUCAAACCUCCUGAGGAAGACGCUGACGGCUCUGAAGUGGAUGCCCCACAGUGCUGCACAAAGCAAGCGUUUUCAGUGUCUCUUGAAGGGUCCGAACCUUAAAAAAAGGAACAGUAUUUUCAAGGAUGGGGCAAGAGGCGACAGCGGGAAGAGCAAGUUCGAAGAAAGGAGAAAUGGAAGAAGACAAGGAUAGGAAGAAACAGUUCCUUGCCUUCCUUCUCUAUCUCCUACGCCCUCUGUCCCACGCCUUUCUUCCUCCCUCGCUUCCUUCCUUCUCUUCCAUCUGUUCCAGGCCACCUUCCUUUCCUUCCUCCCCUUCCUCCCUCGUCCAUUGCCAUUAUGCCUCUUUUCCUUCCUUCCCUCCUCCCUCAGUACUUCCUCUUCUCAGUCCCAGACCCAUGCCUUUUACCGUUGUUUCCUUCCCUCUCCUCCAUCUGUUGCAAGCCUCCUUCCUUCCUUCCUCCCUCAGUACCUGCUCUCCUCAGUCCUUCACGUCUCAGAAACUCGCCACAAACGUAACAUUGUUAGCUGGGAAGGUAAAGGCGAUAUUCGUACUUACAUUCCCGCUGCCUUUGUGAACUUGGAGUGUCUUUGUAGUCAAAAAAUGAAUCCCAGUUUUCUUUGAACUGCUGACAGCAAAUUAAUCUCUUGCUUUGAAGGCCACAAGUUGCGACGGAAACUUGACCUCGCGACAGCCUUUGAGGGCGAGAACGAGGACGAGAGCGAGGACGAGGGCGAGAGAGAGUCUUGCACGUCAACCUGCCAUGUCAAGGGAAGUUUUUUUUUCUCUCACAUGCUUUUUUUUAAUUUUGUGGUGGUGUUCUUUCUGUCUUCAUUUGUCGAGAACUUUGUUAGUAAGUUAUGGAAGCCUGCCCUCGACUUAAACUCCUUCCACCAUCUUCCUCCUUACCUUUUUUUUUCUUUGUCUACGUCUUUCGUUUUCAUCACUGGUGUAAACUUGCCUUCUUCAUCCAUCCAUUAUCUAAUUCCUUCCAUAAUAUAUCUUCCUUUCCUCCUUUCUUCCCCUCCUGCACUUCCUUCUCACUCCCCUAACUAUGACAUAUCCUCUCUCUCUCUCUCUCUCUCUCUCUCUCUCUCUCUCUCUCUCUCUCUCUCUCUCUCUGUGUGAUUUAUCUAUUGACAAAAGAGGUGCAAGAAGGGAGAGAGAGGACGGGUAGGCUGGAGGAGGUUGGAAGAGACAGCCGAGGUGGGACAGGUAAGAAGAGGGACGGAAAUCUCUUGUUACCUGUCCCUAAUUAAUAUUCCUCGUACCUGCUAAUUGGGUGGGUAGUGAGAGGCAGUUUGUGAUCGCCCUGUAGAGAGAGAGAGAGAGAGAGAGAGAGAGAGAGAGAGAGAGAGAGAGAGAGAAUUAUGGACCUAGCGACGACUGCCAAAACAAACUAUCAGUCGACACAAUCUGAAUUAUGACCUGUAAUUCAUUCCCAUCACAACAAAUCAUCACUUCAUCACUACCAUGCAUCACCUCAGGAGCGGCGCCCCCCGCCAUCACUACUCGUCGCUCACACUUCCGAGUCACAUACACACACAUAAUACACUUGACGCACUCAUAUUUUCCUAAUCUAACAAAUUGGAAGAUCCGGGUAGUCAUUCAAAGGUGACUUAUUAUGAAGUAUUAAGUUGCUGUGUUUGAACCGUCUUCUUGUUUCCAUGGGAGUGUGUGUGGUGUGAGGGAAAGUUUAUGGCAACAGUAGGAUAGAAACACAAAAUGAACUUGGUUAUUCAUUUGAUGUGUACCAUUAGGUUAUUCAUUUGAUGUAUACCAUUAAUAAAGUAACUUAUUGUGAAAACAUGA